AAUUACAGGCGUGAGCCACCGCGUCCAGCCUAGAAUCAGCAAACACUUUUUUGAGUGCUUUCUACGUGCCAGGCCCUGCUCUGGAUGCUUUUCAUAAAGUAUCUCAUUUAAUCAUCACAAGACAUUGGGAGGGAUUAUUCUGCCUGUGUUAGACAAAUGAGCCAAUCGGAGCUCAGAGAGAUUAAGUAACUGCCCAAGGUCACACAGCAGUGUUGGAGGCAGGAUCUGAGCCCUGCUGUUGCUGAAAUGAGAGUUCAUGGUCGGUCAGCAUCGCUUCAUGCUGAUCAACAGGGCUUACUGGUACUUAGGGAGCGGGGUGGGAAGAAGAAAAAGUAGCUUCUCGUUUUAUUUAAGGAAAAAAAACACAAAAAGAUCCCUUCCCUUGCAUACACACAGGGAGGUAUAGCAAAAGGGAUUGGAGGCGAGGUCAGUAAAUGGAUGGCCUGCUGCCAAUCAAGCCCCAGGGCUCUUGGCCAUGAGGCCCCUUGGCCACCUCCUGCGGUGACGGUGCCGGCGCCAUGCAGAGCCAGCAUAAACAAGUCCUUGACCGAGUGAGAGCCCUGGCCCCAUGAGGCCUGGCCUAAGCGUGUAGUUAUCUCUGCAAAGCAGAGCACCCUUAAUUAACUGACUAAUUGUUCUUUCCUGCUUGGAAUAUGAGUUGGUUUGCUUUGGGCUUUUUCUGGGACUCAGAGAAAUCUGUCUCCCAGUAAUGAAUUACUCCUCUAGUCCGAAGGUCCAAUGGCUGGAAGAAGACAGGUUUCUCGGAGAGAGCUGAUUGGGUUUCCUCCUUUUCCCUCCUAAUACAACAUAUCUGUUCCCAGAGUCCAACAGCUCCACUGCCACAGAAUUAUUGAUCUAGCACAAGCUGUGCCCCAGGCUCCCCAUCUUAUGAUUCGCUAGGGCAGAAAAUGCAGUUCCAGAGCCCCAUGAGCCCCUGAGCAGCCUCAGUGCUGACUUUAGGGAGGUUCCCUGAGAGGGGAGGGCCAGGAGUAGAGACUGGGCUGGGAGCUUUCCUUCCUCCAGGCACUGUCUCCUCUACUGUGUUUGCAACAUCCUAGAGAUUUAGGAAGCAGAUGGUUUGGAGGUAUAAUUCCUAAAAUAAAUAACCAGACACCUUUUUCCCUCUAUUUCCUUUUCUUCCAUCACUUAGAAGACAACAGUCUCCCAGCAAAAUGUUGCAAGCAGCACAGGCUCAGGAAUGGACAGACUGGCAGGCAAGACACAGCAAGAAGGCAGCAGUCUGCACACCAGGAGGAGAGUCCUCACCACAACUCAGCCCUGCCACACCCUGAUCCUGGACUUUCAGCCUCCAGAGCUGUGAGAAAUAAAUGCCUGCUGUUUCAGCAGCUCAGUCUAUGGUAUUUUGUUGUGGCAGCCUGGGCUAAGAGUGAAAAGGGACAGUUCCAGGCAGAGGGAACAAUCCCUACAAAGGCUGAAAAUGAAGACAGAGAUAGUAAGCCACAGCGGGAUAAAAGAUGAGGGACACACUGGGAUGAGAAAGUGGGGCUCUUAGAGACCCGGCCUGAGUGUUGGACUCAGCCCCUCCUGAGGGCACCAGAGGCCACAGAGGUGCCUGAGAGAAGAGCUCAACCAGAUCUGCACAUGAGGAAGACGGCUCAGGCUGCAGUGUGGAAACUGGGUGAGAACAGGAGGGAGGCCGAGGCAGAGCCUUCAGUCCAGCCAGGUGGGAGGUGAGACCCCUGGAUGAGGAGUGCGGCCAUCAGAGGGAUGUCAGGGACACAUACAAAAGCUGCUUAGGAAGUAGAAGAGACUGACUUUGGUGAAAGUUGGGGAGGAAGAGGCCAGCGUCAUGCUCAGAUGUCUGGCUUUUGCACUUGGAUGGAAGAGGGGUUUCUAAUCUCUCCCGAGUGGGGCUGCCCUCCAGGCUGGGUCUCCCAUGUGGCAGGGAUUCUGUCAUACAUGAUUGGAUACAGUCCCCAUGACAAUGGCGUGUGCUGCAGUUACUCAUCUGAGACCACACAGGCGGCGAGUGAGUGAGGCAGCUGUUGUUUCAACCCACAUGUGACCUGCCCACGUCCACUCUGCAACACCCACAGGGCUAGACAUCUCAUCAGUUGCAGAAUCUUCUUGCCAGCCAUUGUCGCACCUGCUGUUCCCAAGCUAGUGAGCCCAUGAGCCCUCCCUGCCAACCUCCUCGUCACUACCAGCUCUAAGGUGGCUCACUGCCCACUCCUUGCAAAAACCUCUCUGACCCAGUGUGCUGAAAGUUAGUGUGAGCUGCUUGAAUGCAUGUGCUUGGUGCCAUUUGACAAGUAAUCUCACCUGCCUUGUCCUCUUGUCAUAGUGACUGUGUCCCAUCUUUCCUAAGAAAAUUGCCAGCUUCCUGAGACAGGACCAUACCCUUUAUAUCCCUAUACCUGCUGUGAAGACUCAGACUCCAAGCUCUCACCUCCUGCUGCUUUUCAAGAGAAAACAAGGACCAUGGGGCCAGGUGUAGUGGCUCAUGCCCGUAAUCCAGCACUUUGGGAGGCCGAGGAGGGUGGAUCACCUGAGGUCAGGAGUUCGAGGCCGGCCUGGCCAACAUGGUGAAAUCCCGUCUCUACUAAAAAUACAAAAAUUAGCCAGGCAUGGUGGUGGGCGCCUGUAAUCCCAGCUACUCUGGAGGCUGAGCAGGAGAAUCGCCUGAAUCCGGGAGGCAGAGGCUGCCGUGAGCCGAGAUUGCGCCAUUACACUCCAACAUGGGUGACAAGAGUGG
Molecule: long non-coding RNA, 2716 nt
Filed under: Homo sapiens (human)
Lineage: Eukaryota; Metazoa; Chordata; Mammalia; Primates; Hominidae
Description: HSALNT0134605
Source: RNAcentral